RNAcentral lists this ribosomal RNA (338 nucleotides) under uncultured Ruminococcus sp. RNAcentral describes it as "bacterial SSU rRNA". It matches the Rfam family "Bacterial small subunit ribosomal RNA", at positions 1 to 339 of the family's 1533-position model. Lineage: Bacteria; Bacillati; Bacillota; Clostridia; Eubacteriales; Oscillospiraceae. The record is from RNAcentral.
AGUAGUUUGAUCAUGGCUCAGGACGAACGCUGGCGGCACGCUUAACACAUGCAAGUCGAACGGAGUUUAUCGGAGCUUGCUUUGAUAAACUUAGUGGCGGACGGGUGAGUAACACGUGAGCAAUCUGCCCUUAAGAGGGGGAUAGCAGUUAGAAAUGACUGAUAAUACCGCAUAAGAUAGUAGUAUCGCAUGAUACAGCUAUAAAAGAUUUUAUCGCUUAAGGAUGAGCUCGCGUCUGAUUAGCUAGUUGGUGAGGUAACGGCUCACCAAGGCAACGAUCAGUAGCCGGACUGAGAGGUUGGACGGCCACAUUGGGACUGAGACACGGCCCAGACUCC